AAUAGCCUAACGGCUGAACCAGCAACUUGGAGGAAUGUAUAGCGAAAGCUAGCUACAUUUAACUUAGCUAGAGUUAGUGUAGUAUUGACUAUGUCGAAUAAAGUUCUAGAUGGGUUAUGAUGAUGACAUUUCCCAUCUAUGUGUCUUGACCAAAUUACGUGCCAGCAGUCGCGGUAACACGUAAAAGACUAGUGUUAUUCAUCUUUAAUAGGUUUAAAGGGUACCUAGACGGUAAAUCAAGUCCGAGAAGGAUACUAAUUUGACUAGAGUUUAAUAUGAGGGGGCACAAAAGUACUGAUAAGUGGAGAGAUGAAAUUCUGUGAUACAAUAUACGGCACUGGUAAAGGCGAAGGCAUCUCAUUAUGUAAUAACUGACGUUGAGGGACGAAGGCUAUGUAUAGCAAAAAGGAUUAGAUACCCAAGUAGUCUUAGCAGAAAAUUAUGAAUGUCAUAGGAUAGAACAAAAAAUUUUUUUCUAUAAAUGAAAGUGUAAGCAUUCCACCUCGAGAGUAAUAUGGCAACAUUGGAACUGAAAUCAUUAGACCGUUUCUGAAACAAGUAGUGAAGUAUGUUGUUUAAUUUGAUGGUCCGCAAAAAACCUUACCACAAUUUGAAUAGAAAAAAAUUUUUUUCAUACAAGCGCUGCACGGUUGUCUUCAGUUAAUGUCGUGAGAUCUUGGUUAGUUCCAUUAAAUUAACGUAAACCCUUACUUUAUUUUUAUAUAGAGUAGUUCACCGCUAGAUUGGAUGUGAUAACAGGGACUAAGACAAGUCAUCAUGGCCUUAAUAUUGUGGGCUAUAGACGUGCCACAUAUGCCUUACAAAGGGAUGCGAAAUUGCGAAAUUGAGCUAAUCCCCAAAAUUGGAUAAAAACUUAAU
RNAcentral lists this ribosomal RNA (879 nucleotides) under Phaeophyscia orbicularis. RNAcentral describes it as "SSU rRNA". It matches the Rfam family "Bacterial small subunit ribosomal RNA", at positions 370 to 1297 of the family's 1533-position model. Lineage: Eukaryota; Fungi; Ascomycota; Lecanoromycetes; Caliciales; Physciaceae. The record is from RNAcentral.